CUCAGGGAUAGGCUGGGCAUUGGUCAGCAGGUGGUAAUCUGAAAACAAUGGAACUACAGGAGAGUGUUGAGUAAGAAUUCAGUCUUUCUACUUAAGGUCUCAAAGAAAAGUGCCACCUGAAGCUUUGUGAGAUGAAAAAAGUGAAUGAAGCAUCUCAAGCAGAAUGACUGUGCAUCUCCUGUGCAAUGAGGAUGGUCCUAGGUGAUCCUGCUCGGCAGGGGGUUUGGACUAGAUGAUCUUCAGACGUUCCUUCCAACCUCGUCCAUUCUGUGAUUCUGUGAAUGAAUAAAUACCUUACAUCUCAAAAUG
Molecule: long non-coding RNA, 309 nt
Organism: Cygnus olor (mute swan)
Lineage: Eukaryota; Metazoa; Chordata; Aves; Anseriformes; Anatidae
Exons: 3
Source: RefSeq, a predicted model, not a curated record